This 253-nucleotide ribosomal RNA is filed under the name uncultured bacterium. Its description in RNAcentral is "partial 16S ribosomal RNA". It matches the Rfam family "Bacterial small subunit ribosomal RNA", at positions 524 to 776 of the family's 1533-position model. The record is from RNAcentral.
UACAGGGGGUGCAAACGUUGCUCGGAAUCAUUGGGCGUAAAGCGCACGUAGGCGGUUCGUUAUGUCGGAUGUGAAAGCCCUUGGCUUAACCGAGGAAGUGCAUCCGAAACUGGCGAGCUAGAGUACGAAAGAGGAUCGCGGAAUUCCCGGUGUAGAGGUGAAAUUCGUAGAUAUCGGGAGGAACACCGGUGGCGAAGGCGGCUCACUGGCCCGUUACCGACGCUCAGGCGCGACAGCGUGGGGAGCAAACAGG